UCCCAAGAUGGCGUCUGGAUGACGGAGCAGGAGGAGGGACGCGUAGCGGCAGGCUGGCCGUCUCUGCAGGCUCCUGCUGUUCUCCAGCUGAGGUAUGACUCCUCUCAGUCUUCCGGCAUCAGGCUCCAUCCUCCCUACGAGUGCUGGUUGCAAACUAUAAAAUCCAAUCGGGCUGGUUUAAGCAAGCAGAAUUUAUUGAGACUUCUUAGUAGUUCUGACUCACUGGGAGAUCUGAAGAAAAAGACACUCAAGACUGGUCUCCUGGGAACGCAACCCAGAAGCGACCCGAUGAGAACGCUGCUGCCACCACCACUCUUUGCCACCACCUUCACUUGCAAAAUGGAUUAGCCCUGAGCUAACAUCUGCCGUCAAUCCUCCUCUUUUUUGCUGAAGAAGACCGGCCCCGAGCUAACAUCCAUGCCCAUCUUCCUCUACUUUACACGUGGGAUGCCUGCCACAGCAUGGCUUGAGAAGUGGUGCAUAAGUCUGCACCCGGGAUCUGAACCGGUGAACUCUGGGCAGCCAAAGUGGAAACUGCCAACUUAACCGCUGCACCACCAGGCUGGCCACGAGGAUUUUUUUUUUUUAAUGAACAAUUUUCUCAUAGGAGCCCCAGAAAGAUUCAGGCCUUAGAGACACUAAGUACCAUAGAAGAGACUAGAAGCUAUUCUCUGCAAAAGUUCCAGGCUCAGGGACAAGAGGCCUAGAGGAGGACAGGGCUGAGGUGCUGAGCUGAAAACAAGGAGAUUAAGUUAAAUUCUGCUUGAAUCUAUUGAUCGCUUGUCCUGCUGUUCCAGCCCACAGCAUGCUAUGAGGCUCCCAACAGUGUCCCGGACAGGUCGAGGAAAAUGGUGAGCCUUAUCCAUUUUCAGUUAAAGGAACGAGUGAAAUGGUGUCUGAGUUAUAUUUAGUUUUGUUUCCACCACAGAUGAGCUAGACAUCAUAGAAACACAAAACCAGAUUAUCAAGCACAAUAUCUGAUAGCUAAAACAAUUGCACUUUUAUUCCUAACUGAAGUUUAGAAUUUUACUGCAGAGAAGAUGGCUUUCCCAGUCUCCAAGUGUCCGCGAGCCUGACGCCACCUGCCAUCUGCUGGUCUUAAGCUGUAUAGCUCCAGAACAACUCCAGAGGCCAAGCGGGAACAAAGGGACCCCUCACCAACUUCGGAGGGGGAGAGGCUCCCACAGUGUCUGCUACAGGUUUUAGACGUGAGCAAGUCCAGACCACUCUUAAGAGGAAUGAGGAAAGCGAGGACUAUCCUAUUUUGAGCGUGGCAUCUCCUUAAGGAAGCAUGUCUCAGAUUCUACACCAGCCUGCAUGUUGCAAGAUUGCGUCCCACCCGAUGAUUUUCCUCGGGUUCCAGUCUUUGUUCACUGCUGGGGCUUUUUCAAUGGCUGCCAGGCAGCAGGGCCUGCGCUCCCAACCCCUGCCCACAGAGUCUCCGGGCGGCCAGCAGGGAGCGAGAAGGGAAAGAAGGCGGCGCCGCAAGCCCCGGCCGGCCCGGCAGCAUCACCCCAGCGCCCCAGCGAGGCCGCUUCCUCCUGGCUUUCCCUGCGCCUUCGGCACCCAGCAGCCCCCAGACGUCAGAUGGGGACUCGCUGGGCUCAUCUCCGCAGCUGACAGUGACCCCGACCAGAUGUUUCUCCGGAGGCCUUCGCCCCCUCCCGUUAGGCAGCAAUGGCACCAGGGCUGCAGCGAGGGGGCUGGGCGGCGGGCCACAGCUGGCAAGCAGCUUUUGUUCUGG
This is a long non-coding RNA of Equus caballus (horse), 1744 nucleotides long. NCBI's taxonomy places the organism in Eukaryota, Metazoa, Chordata, Mammalia, Perissodactyla, Equidae. The record is from Ensembl.